RNAcentral lists this transfer RNA (73 nucleotides) under Gemmatimonadota bacterium. RNAcentral's name for it is "Gemmatimonadetes bacterium tRNA-Asn". It matches the Rfam family "tRNA". Rfam says of the family: Transfer RNA (tRNA) molecules are approximately 80 nucleotides in length. Their secondary structure includes four short double-helical elements and three loops (D, anti-codon, and T loops). Further hydrogen bonds mediate the characteristic L-shaped molecular structure. tRNAs have two regions of fundamental functional importance: the anti-codon, which is responsible for specific mRNA codon recognition, and the 3' end, to which the tRNAs corresponding amino acid is attached (by aminoacyl-tRNA synthetases). tRNAs cope with the degeneracy of the genetic code in two manners: having more than one tRNA (with a specific anti-codon) for a particular amino acid; and 'wobble' base-pairing, i.e. permitting non-standard base-pairing at the 3rd anti-codon position. The record is from RNAcentral. Lineage: Bacteria; Pseudomonadati; Gemmatimonadota.
UGGGGUGUAGCUCAAUUGGCAGAGCGCCUGGCUGUUAACCAGGAGGUUGGAGGUUCAAACCCUCCCGCCCCAG